Molecule: non-coding RNA, 724 nt
Organism: Dama dama (fallow deer)
Lineage: Eukaryota; Metazoa; Chordata; Mammalia; Artiodactyla; Cervidae
Source: the annotation of a RefSeq genome assembly
CCUCCUCAGGCUUGAAGAGAUUUCAGGAGCGGUGACUCUCAUCUGCUCGAAGAUGAGCCCACUGUGGACCUUCCUCUUCGUGCUGUCAGCUCCCAGCGGGGUCCUGUCCCAGGUGCGGCUGCAGGAGUCAGGACCCAGCCUGGUGAAGCCCUCACAGACCCUCUCCCUCACCUGCGCUGUCUCUGGAUUCUCACUAAGCAGUUAUGGUGUAAGCUGGGUCCGCCAGGCUCCAGGGAAGGCGCUGGAGUGUGUUGGUGGAAUAAGUAGUGGUGGAAGCACAGGCUAUAACCCAGCCCUGAAAUCCCGGCUCAGCAUCACCAGCGACACCUCCAAGAGCCAAGUCUCCCUCUCACUGAGCAGCGUGACACCAGAGGACACGGCCGUCUAUUACUGUGCAAGAUGCACAGUGAGGGGAAGUCAGAGAGAGCCCAGACAGAAACCUCCCUGCAUGGGCGCCCAGGACCACCAGGGGGCGCUCAGGCCCACCACGUUCAGGACUGCUGAUCACCAGCACAGAUCCUCAGAGCUCAGCCACCUGGACUGCACCUGGACCUGCUAUGGGAGCUAUGGAGGCAACAUGGACACUCCUCUGACCCAGCCUCCUCGGAGACACAUCCAAGACCAGCUCUCCCUGCGGCUGAUGUCUGUAACCAGCGAGGACCCAGCCGUGUAUUACUGUGCAAGAGACAUCGUGGGGGGAGGAGCAGGUGCAGAUGGAGGUUAA